AAUUGAAUCUGGUAUAGAAAAGAAAAAUAAGGCAAAUAGGUUCAUUUUCCUCCAAUUCUCACAUUCAACUUUGAACCAUUUCUCAAUGCUUAUUCAUAAAAUUUGAGAUCGGAAAGCUUGUUCUUGAGUGAAGUAGUAUUUAUAGAACAUAAAGCACAAAUUGUGUGAUUCUCUACCAAGUGUUAACCAGUUUCUUGCUGCUCUGCACCCAUGUGUGCAAAUUGGGUGGGUCUGGCAAUUUUGAGGUCAAAAUGGGUCCAAGUCUCCAACAUUCAUUUUCAGCCCAGUGGCAGCCCAAGCCCAGUAGCCUACUAAAGUUUUCAAUCCAACUCCAACCAACAAGACUACUCCAAUCUUUUUCCACCCUGUAUUUUCACAUUCUUCCCUUGUUCUGACUACUCCUGCAUAAUAGUUACUUGUUCUGACUUUUGGUAGUUUUCGCAGAACCUGCUGGUGGUGGAGGACGACCACAAUGUGUUCCUUGGAUGAUGCACCAAAGGCUAAACCCUAUUCCAUGCUGGGACUUCGUUAAUUUGCAGACCAAGGAAAGGUUCACGCUUGAGCCGUCUGACCAUGACAGAAUUACUAUACUAUUUUUGAGACUAGGAUGGCUGCU
RNAcentral lists this long non-coding RNA (616 nucleotides) under Aquilegia coerulea. RNAcentral's name for it is "long non-coding RNA (ACOE_LNC002208)". Lineage: Eukaryota; Viridiplantae; Streptophyta; Magnoliopsida; Ranunculales; Ranunculaceae. The record is from RNAcentral.